CCUCGGGUGGCUGCAGUCGAGAAUUUUUCUCAAUGGGGGAAACCCUGAAGGAGCGACGCCGCGUGGAGGAUGAAGGCUUUCGGGUUGUAAACUCCUGUCAUUUGAGAACUAGUAUCAGAAGAGGAAGGGACGGCUAACUCUGUGCCAGCAGCCGCGGUAAUACAGAGGUCCCAAGCGUUGUUCGGAUUCAUUGGGCGUAAAGGGUGCGUAGGUGGCGCCGUAAGUCGGGUGUGAAAUUUCGGAGCUUAACUCCGAAACUGCAUUCGAUACUGCGGUGCUUGAGGACUGGAGAGGAGACUGGAAUUUAUGGUGUAGCAGUGAAAUGAGUAGAGAUCAUAAGGAAGACCAGUGGCGAAGGCGGGUCUCUGGACAGUCCUGACACUGAGGCACGAAGGCCAGGGGAGCAAACGGGAUUAGAUACCCUGGUAGUC
Molecule: ribosomal RNA, 431 nt
Filed under: uncultured bacterium
Lineage: Bacteria
Description: partial 16S ribosomal RNA
Rfam family: Bacterial small subunit ribosomal RNA
Source: RNAcentral